AUACAGGGGGAGCGAGCGUUAAUGGGAAUUACUGGGCGUAAAGAGUACGUAGGCGGUUGCUUAAGUCAGAUGUGAAAGCCCCGGGCUCAACCUGGGAACUGCAUCUGAAACUGAGUGACUAGAGUUUAAGAGAGGGGAGUAGAAUUCCGGGUGUAGCGGUGAAAUGCGUAGAGAUCCGGAGGAAUACCAGUGGCGAAGGCGGCUCCCUGGCUUAAAACUGACGCUGAGGUACGAAAGCGUGGGUAGCAAACAGGAUUAGAAACCCCAGUAGUCC
This 274-nucleotide ribosomal RNA is filed under the name uncultured bacterium. Its description in RNAcentral is "partial 16S ribosomal RNA". It matches the Rfam family "Bacterial small subunit ribosomal RNA", at positions 523 to 796 of the family's 1533-position model. The record is from RNAcentral.